Molecule: ribosomal RNA, 467 nt
Filed under: uncultured bacterium
Lineage: Bacteria
Description: partial 16S ribosomal RNA
Rfam family: Bacterial small subunit ribosomal RNA
Source: RNAcentral
GACGAACGCUGGCGGCGUGCUUAACACAUGCAAGUCGAACGGAAAGGCCCUGCUUUUGUGGGGUGCUCGAGUGGCGAACGGGUGAGUAACACGUGAGUAACCUGCCCUUGACUUUGGGAUAACUUCAGGAAACUGGGGCUAAUACCGGAUAGGAGCUCCUGCUGCAUGGUGGGGGUCGGAAAGUUUCGGCGGUUGGGGAUGGACUCGCGGCUUAUCAGCUUGUUGGUGGGGUAGUGGCUUACCAAGGCUUUGACGGGUAGCCGGCCUGAGAGGGUGACCGGCCACAUUGGGACUGGGAUACGGCCAGACUGCUACGGGAGGCAGCAGUGGGGAAUAUUGCACAAUGGGCGGAAGCCUGAUGCAGCAACGCCGCGUGCGGGAUGACGGCCUUCGGGUUGUAAACCGCUUUCGCCUGUGACGAAGCGUGAGUGACGGUAAUGGGUAAAGAAGCACCGGCUAACUACGUG